Bubalus bubalis (water buffalo) is the source of this 3923-nucleotide RNA transcript. RefSeq lists it as uncharacterized. The record is from RefSeq and is a predicted model, not a curated record. NCBI's taxonomy places the organism in Eukaryota, Metazoa, Chordata, Mammalia, Artiodactyla, Bovidae. The transcript has 11 exons.
UUGUUUAAUCCAAUUUAUUUCAUUAUUCAUUGUUUCAUUAAAUAUUUACUAAGAGCCUAUUCUAUACCCUACGUGAGAGACACAGAUAAACAGAUAGAUAGAUACAAAUAACUUAUUAUCUGAUAGUUCUGGAGGUCAAAGUCCCAGAUGGGUAUCACUGGACUAGAAGCGAGGUGUCAGGACAGCUGAGUUCUUUUAUGUGGGUUUGAGAGAAUUCAUUUCCACUUCUUUUGAGCCCCUAGAAACUGCCCACAUUCCUUGGCUCUUUUGCCAUCUUUAAAGCCAGCAACAGCCAGUUGAGUGCUUCUCAUUACAUCUCUCUGACCUUUCUUUUCAUCACUCAUCUCUAGCACAGCAGCGAAAGUUUCCCUACUUCAAGUUCUCAGACUUAGAUUGGCCCCACCCAGGGAAUCAAGGAUAGCAGUCCCAUCUCAAGGUUUAUAACUUUAAUCACAUCUACAAAGUCUCUUAUGCCAUGUAAGUACCAUAUUCAUAGGUUUCCAGGACUGGGGCAUAGAUAUCUUUGGGGGCCUUAAAUUUGCAAGCCCCAAAGCCACUGCCCACAGCAAGAUUUCUUAAAAAUCUCUUUUCAGGGACUUUCCUGGCAGUUCAGUGGUUAGGAUUCCAUGCUUCUACUGCAGAGAACAUGGGUUCAAUCCCUGGUAGGGGAAGAUACCGCAAGUCAUACAGCACGACCAAAAAGAAAAAAAAAAAAAAAUCUAAAAAAAAAUCCCUUUUCCUCCCCAACCACUUCUUCCCAAAGCUCCAACUGCUUUGCACCUCUGUUCUCCAUUUUCCCCAGAAAAACUCCCAGGCCCAGCCCCUGAACGGCCUCCUUUAUCCUGGCGCCCCCUUUCUCUUGGGAGUGGGGAGACAAAACGUCGCAAAAGGAAACCUCGCUAGAGCGCAGGUGAGUCCUCUCACCUUGGUUUCUGCUUAUUGCUGUGGGCUGUAACCACCAUUUAUAACCUCGGUUUCUUUGAAAAACCGAGUUAGGGGCUCCGGUGCGGUCCACAGCUGACGUCGCGUGGGCGGGAAAUAGGCCGAGGCAUAUACUCUUUGGAGACCUCUGCUCCUCGCUCCCAAUGACCCAUUGAUAACCAGGGACACGGGUCCCUAGCUCUGUCCCCUCCUAGACCUCGUCCCUUGCAGCCCCAUCAGCUGCCAGGACCCAGAUCCGCAGCAAGGGCACCUGGAGUUCUCCCGGUCCCAGGCAGAGCCCCCGCGAACCCUGGAACGCUAUUUCCUGCUGCUCCUCUUUCCCUCCUCCUGCUGUUCCUCCUCUCCUCCUGGCGCUCUGCCCACCGCGGGUCACCGACUUCCUCCGGCCUCCGCCCCUAGCCGCUACCGCCCCCUGGCAGCCGUCUCCAAGGUGCACACCGGACGCGGGAAGCCACCCGGCGGCGGUGGAGGAGGCAAGGACCCGGCUCAUGAGGCAAGUUACAGUUUUCAGAAUCCAAGUGGAAUCUAACGCUAUGAAACAAUGCCAAGAGAAAAGCAAGGAAAACGAAAAACUAAAGGAGCACCCCAGUCCAUUGUUUCCACUCUUCAAAAGUUCCUGAAAACAUACGAGAAGCGUUGUGUACAGACUCAGACGUCUGUGUGUCCAGCCAUCAAAAGGGACUUGAAAGCCAGCAUCAACCAUGAACGGAUUCUCAGGAAGUUUGUACUGGUAAGACCUGAUGACUCCCCGCCAGGCAUCCUACCAAUUUCCUUGGAACCUUUGCUCAUGACUGUUCAGGAUGAGUGUUACAUGCUGGGGAGAGAGAUCUGUAUCUGGGGCUUUCAACUGAGCAACCCAGAGAUCGCCAGACUUGCUUUGCUUCUAGAAUCGAAGGGGCACACCCGCUGCCCGUUUACCACCCUGGAACUCAUUGACUGCAAGAUGGAUCUGUGGUCUCUGGGGAGGCUUGGGCAGGCUUUGCAUCUCAGCAGUCUGCAUGUUCUUGUCCUCGACUACUGCAGAUUUACACAUGAAGAAAUUGAGAGUAUUUUCUCAGGCCUGGAGAACAACCAAAGGCUUCAGAGCCUCAGUCUGCGCUACUGUGGUCUGGGGCCACAGAAUGGACCGAGGCUGGGCUCCAUCGUAUGCCACAGUGCCAUUCGUGAGCUGCACCUCGGUGGCAAUUACUUGCAAUGUUCUGGAGCUCUGGGUCUCCUCAGACCCCUGGCAGAGUAUGCAGAGAUGCAGGGGAAAGACCAACUGGCCAUUUCCUCACCAGACACCAGGAGCCCCCCUCCGCUGCUCCAAGCCAGACAGAGAGGAAGUUCACCUCUGAACCAGAUUGCAGAGUCAUCCAGGGCUGUAACAGUGAAACCUACCUCAGGGAAGAGGAGAAAAAAAGGAAUCAAGAAAAAAAUUAAAGAUUUGAUUGAAACUGGUCCUUGGUUAGUGAAGUUGUAUUUAGCAGAUAAUGGCAUAGAUGGAAAGGGAAAAGAAGGAGAAAAUGACUUGUUGGAAUUCACUCAAAUAUUAACAUGUUCUGACAGGCUGACGCCCUGGAAGUAGAAGCACCAUCUUCACAACCCUCCACCCGCUGGCAAGUCCCGUUCUGGGCCAGCUGUAGACCAAGUUGGAGGAUGAGCAAACAGGCUCCAGGAGCACUUUGGAGAACAGAUCCUGAUCAAAUACUCUGUCCACUUAAAGGAGAUUGACCUUGGAAACAAUGUCCUGGGAGAAAAGGCUGCUGUUGACCUACUUGAAGCACUGAGAGCCAGAAAGACAGAAGGCUGAUAGUCAUGUAGAAGACUGGGGUAUUCUUUGAAAAACUGAACAGCCCCAGAGAAAGGAACUCCAGAUGCUGAGAGCUGGCCACUCCCUCACCAUUCAAAGAAGCCCUGCACAUACACAGGAGCUUCCCAUCAGCCUUUGGAUGCCUCUUGCUUCACUGUGAACAGAAAUCUCAGAAUCUCCAGAGACAUGAAGCAAUUUUCCAACACAGGAAACCAUGCCUGAAACAAAGAGAAUAAAAGAGCCCUGAAGAUAUAGAAACUAUGUGAAAAAACUUUAAAAAGAAAUAAGUUAUAACACUCUCAGUUAAACAGAAGAUCAUGCAUCUAUAAAACAAGAACAGGAUGCUAUGAAAAAAGAUUAGGAAAAAAAUUAGGUUAUUAGAAGUGAAAAUAAAAACUUCAAACAAAUGUUGAAAAACGAAGUCAAGAAAGUCUUCAAAAGUAGAGCAAAAGAUAGGGAGAUGAAAAAUUGGUGAGAAAAUAUGAGCAAGAGGAUCAGUCUAAGAGCACCAGUAGCUAACUCAUAAUUUCAGAAAGAAAAGAAAGAAGUGAGGGAAGGGAAUUAUCAAAGGAAUAAACCAAGAACUUUCCCAGAACCAAGGGACAUAAAUCUGCAUAUUGAAAAAGCCCACUGAGUGCUCAGCACAGUGCAUGACAAUCAUGGCUUUCAGAAUGGUAGGAAUAAAAGGUAGAUCCAAACAACAUACGGGGCUUCCCUGCUAGCUCAGCUGGUAAAGAAUCUGCCUGUAGUGCAGGAGACCCAGGUUCGAUCCCUGGAUCGGGAAGAUCCCCUGGAGAAGGGAAUGGCAACCCACUUCAGUAUCCUUGCCUAGAGAACUCCAUGGACAGACCAUGGGGUCGCAAAGAGUUGGACACGACUGAGUGACUAGCACACACAACAGUAUAUAAAAAGAGAAAGAAAGAUUGCAUACAAAGGACUGGAAGUCAGGAAAAUCAUAGACUUCGUAACUGAAAACUAGAGGUAAAGGAGCUCUGCCAUGACGACUCUGUGAGAACUCUACACAUUCCUAACUCCUUACCAAGUGUGAGUGGAAACUAGAGAUGUCUGUAGCUUGAAAGGACUCAAACUCUGUACCUCCUCUGUAUCCAUUCUCAAAAAGCUUCCAGAGAAUAUACUUGAGCAAAGUGAGGGAAUUCACAUAGACAAAGAAUACAGAAUCCAGAAAUCA